UGAGGAAUAUUGGUCAAUGGGCGGAAGCCUGAACCAGCCAAGUCGCGUGAGGGAAUAAGGCCCUACGGGUCGUAAACCUCUUUUGCCGGGGAGCAAGGGCGGGGACGUGUCCCGGCCCGGAGAGUACCCGGAGAAAAAGCAUCGGCUAACUCCGUGCCAGCAGCCGCGUAAUCUAG
Molecule: ribosomal RNA, 176 nt
Filed under: uncultured bacterium
Lineage: Bacteria
Description: partial 16S ribosomal RNA
Rfam family: Bacterial small subunit ribosomal RNA
Source: RNAcentral